RNAcentral lists this ribosomal RNA (301 nucleotides) under uncultured bacterium. RNAcentral's name for it is "partial 16S ribosomal RNA". It matches the Rfam family "Bacterial small subunit ribosomal RNA", at positions 509 to 807 of the family's 1533-position model. The record is from RNAcentral.
CAGUCGCCGCGGGAAUACGUAGGGUGCGAGCGUUAAUCGGAAUUACUGGGCGUAAAGCGUGCGCAGGCGGUUAUGUAAGACAGGUGUGAAAUCCCCGGGCUUAACCUGGGAACUGCGCUUGUGACUGCACAGCUAGAGUAUGGCAGAGGGGGGUGGAAUUCCACGUGUAGCAGUGAAAUGCGUAGAGAUGUGGAGGAACACCGAUGGCGAAGGCAGCCCCCUGGGCCAAUACUGACGCUCAUGCACGAAAGCGUGGGGAGCAAACAGGAUUAGAUACCCCUGUAGUCCCUGUCUCUUAUAC